GCCGAAACCAAGAGCUGGACGCUCAGUUGACUGAGCCACCCAGGUGCCUCCAGAAUACACAUUUUCCUUUCAAAUUCCAGAGUGAAAGCACAAGUCAGUGCGUUUCCUCAACCCACUGCAAAUCUCCAUAGCAACGGAAAAUGCCAGGCCUCGCAGGUAUGAACGGUGAGGAGCCAUUGACAGCUGUGAGAAACACUACCCAGCUGCCACGACUUUUCUCAGAAAAACCUGCUGUUCUUGCACCAGUGUCUUCCUCCAUGGGAACGUGUUCGGAGCAGGAGCGAAAUGGAAAAAUCCUCGUAUUAAGAUUCCGGUGCUAUGACCCGAACAGAGGACUCCAGGCGACUUUCCAGGAUGUGGAAAGCUAUCUGGCUGCAGGCAGGACCUUGCACUUGCCCAUGUGUGUGGACCCUGAGUAUAUACCGAGUUUCCAGCUAGCGAUGAGGCGCCCCUCUGUGGACGUGUUCAAAGACAGCCUUUAAAAAAAUCAUCAUCAUCAUCAUCAUCAUCAUCAUCAUCAUCAUCAGAUUUAGGAUCUGAAUGAAGGGAUUAAUGGCGUCCGGAGACAAGGUGAUUUCUGAGACUUCGAGACUUCGGUCUUUGGUUGCAGUACCGCCAGCAGCUGAGCCAUCCCGACACCCCACUGCUCUCAGUAACGAGAAGCCACUAUUUGCCUUCUCGUCGCCCCGCCAGGAAGAAGCCUACCAGGUAUCCUAGAACCCGUCCCAGACAGCCGUUGGAAGAUUUGGCUCCCCCUCUCUCCAAGCUUUUGGGAAGUAAUCGUAGCACUGCAGAAAAUGAGUGGCUCCUUUUUGAGAUGGAUUGAGAAGAAGCCUUGCUGAGGUUUCAUCGCAUAAACGGUGGCACGGCUUUCCCGCGCUCUCUCAACCGAUUGAAACAAAGAUGCUAAGCGUGAGGCUCUGUGUUCACUUACGCUUGAUUGUGUAUAAGCCCUGCAUAUCAGAUUGGGUACCUACCCAUGGACAGCGAAUGAGGAAGAAGAUGCCUCCGACUUGGGGCAGCUCAGUGGAUCCCCAGGCAGAGACCAGCAAUUAUCAGGUCUCUGCACGGGGCGUCUAGAAGACAGGCAAAUUCACGCAGCCCGGCCAAAGGGUGCAGAUUUACGCGCUGGCCUUUUCAGCUGGUCUUCAAAACUGAUUAGACGUUUGAAAAGGACACUCCUCCACAUUUCGUUUGUUCCUGAUAAUUCUCACUCCUUGAACUGUCCAGGCAGCUCAACAGAGAAGGGUAGAGAAGGUGAAGAAAACUACCAUCGUCGGUAGAUGCACGCUGUUCCCCUGCACAGGCGGAAAGGGAGAGGAGGGCAGAGCCGCGUGGAUUAAAUUGGCUGUCUUAUGCUGGGUCUCACCAGGCUUGAUGUUUUCGGCUUACCUCUGCAAUACCCGGAAUACAGCAGACCCCCCCUUAUCCACCGAGGAUACGUUUUAGGACCCCGAGUGGGUGCCUGAAAUGGUGGCGAGCAAAAUCACAGAGAGAAGACAGACUUCUUCAUUAUGUGCAGAAUAACACUUUAAUGGGCUUUUUCUUUAUGAAACUCAUAAAUCCCAGAUCAUCUUCUGGAAUAAAGAAUCUAAAUGUUUUCCAUAAUUAAAAUGUCUUCACUGAGGGCAGAAUUGCAAAUCUCAGAUGAUUUCCUUCUAGAAACAACUUUUUUCCGCCCUUCUGUGGAAGCCUCAGAAAAGACCCAUUUGGACUCCAAGUUGGGAAGACAUGGCCCUUUGGAAGCUGGGUUGGCCUUUUCGUCAUGACCAUGGGAUAGGGCCUACGGAGAACGGUGUCCAAUGGAAACCCGAGGAAGUCUUGGUGCAUUGGCUCCAAGAGCAGCCGAAGCUUCUGUUAUCCCCACGCUUUCACCAAAACCUUGUUAAUUAUUAUAAUCUAUAUUUAGCAUUAAGGGAUGGUCCAGGGUUCAGGCUUGAGCAGAGCAGUUCUGGAAACAACAGAAACCCCGGAAAAGCUAGAGUCCAGUCCAUGCGGGUGACUGGACGUGGGCCGGAGGAGCAGACAAGAACCAGACGGUGUCAUUUGGGGCAUCAUAGAAUACAGGCCUUGGACCACUGUCUCCAAGUUACUGAGCAUGUGACUCAUGUAGGCUAGAGGGGUCUGGGGCACUUGGGUGUCAGGCAAAUUUACCUAGCAACUCCUUAUGCUUUUAUAUGCAUGGCAUCCCACCCUGAAGUCACUGGCUCAAAUUCUUGGCUCAAGGACACACAGAACAUUCUUCUUAUUACUCCGAUUUCGCCCUCCCCAGCCAGGUUGAACCUCCCUGCAGGCACCUGUCGCCUAACACGGUUUCCAUAAAUACCUCUUGAAGAGCAGCCCAGGGCCUCGAGUCCCGUAACCCCUUUUCCACAAAGCCUUUUGGAGGCACAACAGAACUGUGGCUUAGAAACUUGGGAUCAUAAAGCCAGAAAAUGCUAGAUUCAACCCGUCAGGAAUAGCUUGCUCGUCGCCAGGUCUAACCCCCUGAGGAUCCACUUGUUCCUUGUUUUUCUUUUCUUUUUUUCUAUUUUUUUUUAACGCUUCAUUUAUUAUUGAGAGACAGAGAGACACAGAACGUGAGCAGGGGAGGGGCAGAGGGAGAGGGAGACACAGAAUCCGAAGCAGGGCUCCAGGCUCCGAGCUGUCAGCACAGAGCCCGACGCGGGGCUCGAACCCACAAACGGCGAGAUCAUGACCUGAGCCGAAGUCGGUCGCUUAACCGAGAACGACUUUCCGUCUCCUUGCGAACACUGAUGUUGCCAUCCGGCACCACCCAGCAGAAGAGGGGGGGAGGCUUGGUGCAAAGCCCUAUGUCCUCUUGAUCCUAAGGCCUCCAACUGGUCCACAUCUAGAGAUUCCAAAGAGGCAGCGGUGUGGGGGUCCCUGUUGUGAUGUCCUGUAUGGAGACUAGGACAGGCUGGCCUCAUACCUCCAGAAAGAGAGAAUUUUUCUUUUUUUAAAAAUCCCAGUUCCUUACUCCUGGAGCCUAAAUAGUUCAUCAUUUUCUUGCUGUCUUGCCCUCCUGCAGUGGGUUGAACGAUGUUCUUCCCCAACCUCCCCCCCACCCCCGGCCCGCCAAAGACAUGACUACAAAUAAUUAAGGAUCUCAAGAUAAGAUCAUUCUGCAUUCUCCAAAUUGCCACUGACUCCAAUGACAAACGAGUAUCCUUAAAAGAGACAGGGGAACAGCAGAGGGGAACACGCAGAGGAGAGGGGGCCACGUGAAGACAGAGGCAAAGGUCGGAACAAGGCAGCCACGAGGCGAGGAAGGCUCGGGGCCACCGGAAGCUGGAAGAGGCAAGGAAGGGUCCUUCCCCAGAGCCUUCGGAGGGAGCGCGGCCAUGCUGACCCCUCGAUUUGGGGCCUGAAGCCUCCAGAACAGCGGGAGAAGACAUUUCUAUUGCUCCAAGCCACCAAGUUUGUGGUAAUUUGCUACAGCGGUCCUAAGAGACCCAGACACCGAUGCACAGACACGCGCACACACGGUUCUGCCCCCCAAAAGAAUUGCAGAAAGAAAACUAGGUAGGGAGAAGUACCCAUAUCCUGGUAUUUCAGCUUGUGAAAACCUCGCGUGCGCAGAAAAGCCCCGUCUUCCCUACCUGAGGGAGGGAUCCCUGGGAGGGAUUGAUUCUCUCCAAGUCUCUUCCUUUGCUCCCUCUCCCGGGUCAGAGAAAGGCCGCUGGAUUCACUUAGCUGCUUUAAACAGUUGCCCGCUUGUUUUGCUUCCAAACUCACGUGCUCUCUCAAUCACAGGGGAGCCUGGCUGAACAAAGCCUGACAUGUCCUAGCUCUUGGGUCUGUGCCUGGAGUCGACAACCCUCACCAGGCAGGCUGCACAAAUCUCCCAGGAUGUCCCCGCAGAAUUCCCUCGGCUGCCUGGCUGUGGCCCUCCCUUCCUUCCCUCCCCUGAAGACAGCGCGGCGUGUCCGGAGGCUCCAUGGUGAGCGAAGAAUGUUCUCCAAGUGGCGUCAUACAGGCUGCCUCCGCAGCCCUGGUGGCUUCAGGAGGUCAAGGUCAAGGUGCACCCCCGCCCCAGCUCUGGAUAACCCAACUUUAAGAAAGGGUAGUCAGGGGUGGGGGGCAGCUUUGUUUACUGCCCCAAAGCGAAGUUUUCUUGAAGCCCAGGGCCCUCUCGAUGCGCUGGCCUCCAGGCCCGACCACCGUAGUGUUCCAAGGGGGACUUCAGAUCUUGGCACGCUCCGUGGGUACACCAGUUCCUGUGAACUGAGACGUCCGUGUAGUUUGGAACGAAAGGGCAUCAUGCUUUCAUGGUAGAGGUGGUGACCUUCCACAGCAGGGACGUUACCAGCCAAGGUAUCAACACAACUGGAGUGGAAUCUCUCUCCAGCGUCAGGUUUGAUAUAAUGAACUACAUGGAAGUGAGACAUCGUGUGUUUCUACCUCCAAAAUAUUUGAAUCAGCAAGUGUCCUUGUAAAUAAGAAGUUGACUUUUCGAGAGGAUUUUGUUACGAACAUGCGUAUUGCAAACGCAUUUCCUUUAUUACACCUUAACAGAAGACCCAACUGAUAUUAAUGAUUUUCCUACUUCAUAUCCCACGAGUUGUAUGGCAACCACGAAACAGGGUCAGGAUAAAAUGAGAAGUCAAAAAAAAAAAAUUGAAUUCUGGAGCUGGGCCGUGCGUGUUCUGGAGGUAUUUACACUCUGCGAAGAGUGACGCUCUCCUCUGCGCUGUGUGCAUCUAUAAAUCAUAUUUCAAAUUCCGCACCAAAUGAACUUAUCAACAGCCUUUGCUCAUGGCGUUCAUUGCCUCUGACAGAUCUAUCCCCCAGCUGGUGUUGAUUUCUCCCUGCACUGCGGCGAGAUCAUUAAUCUUGUAUGUUCUUUCACUCUGUGUGUUUUUUUUCUCUACUGAGAUUUUAAAACAGAUUGUGCCUGUUUCCACUGACCUUUGAGAGAUUUGUCAUGUGUCCUUUUUUUAAACAGGCUGUGUAAAAGCCAAUUCCUUGAGUGUAGCGGGGGUCACGGGCAGUAAUUCUGCCACCAGGGUGGUAGCCUUGAUUUUGUCAUCCUUCCCUACGGAAGAAUCAGGGCGAGGCCACCGCCACAGAAGCAUUUAUUAUUAAGCGCCUGAAGAGAUGUUCUGGAACCAUCCUGAUUAGCGAUUCUUCUCCAGGCCUGGUGAAGUCACUUCAUCCUGCCUCCUGAACUGCACUGAUAAGGCACGGCAGAUGCCGGCAGCCCCAGACUGACUGCCAAUGCCAAGGGAGAAGGGGAUUCCUGAGGAGCCCCACUGCCCCUGCAGACGUCUGUCCUUGAACCUCGUACUGGGCAGUUCUGUCCGCUGCCCAGAGAGGAAGGAUUGUAUCUGCACAAGCCGCGAAGAGAAGGGCAGUAGAAUUAUCUAGUGAAGACAGGUGUUUGGAGAGAUAUCAGUGCUUGUGGAUGAAAGAGUGGGUGUAGACAACCCACUGUGGGCUCAGGAAGCGCUUCCUUCUCCGUGGCUGGUUGUUUCCUUCUGAAUUCUUUAGGACAUUAUUUAAAGUGCCCGUUUUAGAUAAAGUUGCCAUUUUCUCCGGUGAAAGGACUUUUGCUUUGCUAUCAUUCCUUACAAGUGGUAAGGACUCAACAUUGAUGGAAUGUUUACGCUGCUUCUCACCCCACAUGGAAACCCUUUGUAGGAUUAAAAGCAAGUGAGGACAAGCCUUCAGAGAAAAAGAGGCCACAUGCCUGUCAGAGUCAGUCCCCUACCAAAUCUCUCUUGCCCGUUCCAUGUACCCAGGGCCUGUGAGUGGGAGGCGACCGCCGGGCGACCGCUCUGUAAGCGACAUUGAACUCCCCUCCUGCCCACAUCUGGUGCAGCCAUCCAAUGAAGACGCUGUUUUUCCACCUUUACAAAAUUCAAGUUGAACCCUCCUCCCAGCCUCAAUCAUGAUACCUUACUUGGACUCUUCCAAUCACAGACAUGGCUCUUUGCUUUCUGGUUUCCAUCCUUUCUUCUUCUUCUUUUUUUUUUAAUGUUUAUUGAUUUUUGAGACAGAGAGAGACAGAGCAUGA
Long non-coding RNA from Felis catus (domestic cat), 6019 nucleotides. RefSeq lists it as uncharacterized. The transcript has 7 exons. The record is from RefSeq and is a predicted model, not a curated record. Lineage: Eukaryota; Metazoa; Chordata; Mammalia; Carnivora; Felidae.